This 406-nucleotide ribosomal RNA is filed under the name uncultured bacterium. RNAcentral describes it as "partial 16S ribosomal RNA". It matches the Rfam family "Bacterial small subunit ribosomal RNA", at positions 28 to 526 of the family's 1533-position model. The record is from RNAcentral.
GAUGAACGCUAGCUACCGGCUUAACCCAUGCAAGUCGAAGGACCGGCGCACGGGUGAGUAACACGUAUCCCACCUUCCCUUUACUCGGUGCUAGCCUUUCGAAAGAAAGAUUAAUACCCGCUGUAAAGGAUGGGGAUGCGUUGCAUUUGGUUGUUGGUGAGGUAACGGCUCACCAAGCCUUCGAUGGAUAGGGGUUCUGAGAGAAAGGUCCCCCAGAUUGGAACUGGGCCACGGACCAAACUCCUACGGGAGGCGGCAGUGAGGUAGAAUGGUCAACAGGCGUUAGGCGGAACCAGCCAGGUAACGAGAAGGAUGAUGGGGUAUGGGUCGUAAACAUCUUUUAUAGAAGAAGAGGUAUUAUAUGAGUAAGGAACGGCUAACUACGUGCCAGCCGCCGCGGUAAUUC